RNAcentral lists this ribosomal RNA (3013 nucleotides) under Colemanosphaera charkowiensis. Its description in RNAcentral is "bacterial SSU rRNA". The stretch from base 1969 to 3013 matches the Rfam family "Bacterial small subunit ribosomal RNA". Lineage: Eukaryota; Viridiplantae; Chlorophyta; Chlorophyceae; Chlamydomonadales; Volvocaceae. The record is from RNAcentral.
AUCCAUGGAGAGUUUGAUCCUGGCUCAGGACGAACGCUGGCGGCAUGCUUAACACAUGCAAGUCGAACGAGCAAAAUUUUUUUUGUGUAGUGGCGAACGGGUGCGUAACGCGUAAGAACCUACCUAUCGGAGGGGGAUAACAUUGGGAAACUGUUGCUAAUACCCCAUAAAAGCUGAGGAGUGAAAGGUGAAAAACCGCCGAUAGAGGGGCUUGCGUCUGAUUAGCUAGUUGGUGGGGGUAACGGCCUCCCAAGGCCACGAUCAGUAGCUGGUCUGAGAGGAUGAUCAGCCACACUGGGACUGAGACACGGCCCAGACUCCUACGGGAGGCAGCAGUGAGGAAUUUUUCGCAAUGGGCGAAAGCCUGACGAAGCAAUGCCGCGUGCAGGAAGAAGGCCCGUGGGUCGUAAACUGCUUUUUUCAGAGAAGAAGUUCUGACGGUAUCUGAGGAAUAAGCACCGGCUAACUCUGUGCCAGCAGCCGCGGUCUGGCUUAAUAAAUGCCGCAACAUCAAUUCAUUGAUGUUUAGAAUCCAGCUCAUAACGGGGGAGCCUAAAGCACUACGCAACGUGCGCUAUGGUGAUCACGUGGGAAGUUUCUGCAAAGUCAAUUUUACAGAAACCCCGUAACGACUGACCCGAAAGGGGAGAGUAAGUAAUACAAAUUACUUGCUAAAACGCUGGCUCUCAUUAUGUUUUCAGAAGGCAUGAGAUUAUCAAAUGAUACACUUUUUAAAAAGAAAGUAACAUUCAGCCGAAUGCUCGAAAGUCUCUAUGGUUAUUCGAGAAGCUUUCUUCUAUUGAAGCAUGGGAAACCAAAGCAAUCAAUAGUUCGUAAACAUUUUUUGUUAAAAAACAUGACACAACAGGUAACAAUGGCUUACAUCUUAGGUUUAAUGGAAGCUGAUGGUAGUAUUCUUUUAAUGUUUGGUACUGGUAAAAGCAAACGAACGCUUAAACCUUGGGUUCGAAUCUCCCAAAAAUCAAAUAAAAAUUUACUACCACUAAUUAAAGAUUUUUUCGUUAAACAUAAUAUUGAAUGCAAUUACGAAGUUUGGGAUCCUCAGACUUCAAAAGGGCGUGCACCUAAUCUAACUAUCACGAAAGUUGAUAGCGUUCGACAGUUUAUUAAAUUGGUUAAACAAGAACCAAUUCAAUUUUUAAGCCAAAAGCAACGUGACUUUUGGAUCCUUGAUCGUGUUUUAAAUUCACCUGAACGUCUUAAAAUCGAAGAUAAAGUAAAUUUAAAGUUAAAUUUGCAUAAAGAUAACAUGAAUCAGCCUGAUGUACUUCAACCUGGUAAAAAAACACGUGAAAAACUUGAGGAACAGUUCUCUAUUCCUUCAGGUGAAUCAAGUAAAGAUGCUUUAGGUAUUUUAACACAAAUCGACCAGCAAUAUGCUGAUCACACGAACAAGAUUCAUCAGUUAAUUGAUGAUGGUAAACUGACGUUACCAGCGGAUUGGUUAGCAGGUUUAAUCGAUGCAGAUGGUGGUUAUUAUGUAACCAUGCAAGUACGAGGACCUAAUCAACACUUUCCUAAGCGUUUUUUAGAAAUUCAAGCAAACUUCACGAUUACAAUGGAAAAAAAUGCAUUAACAACUUUAAAAGCUGUUAAAUUUUUAGUAGAUUCCAAAGCACCAAUUAGAGCAUCGCGUAAUCACUAUCAAUUAUGGAUACGAAAUCAAUCUGAAGUUAAAAGAUUGUUGCAAUUACAACAAUUGUAUUUACCUGUAGGUGACCAUAGAUUAGCACAAUAUAACUUAAUUAAAAAAAUCCAUUUUUAUAAACAAAAUAAUAAGAUGCGAGAUUUAGAUGUUAUAUUAGAUAUCGUUCAUGAAGCUUAUGCUCUUUCGGAUCAAAAUAAAGGUCGUGAAAGAACAAAAUCAUUAGCUGAAAUGGAAGCGAUUGUGCAAGAAAUUUAUGGUUAAAUUGUUUAACUCGUUAUAUUUCUUCUAAGAUUACUAUGUGAGAUGAAGGUAUAGUCUGUACCUAUUGAAAGAUAGGAUUUAUAUGAAUACAGAGGGUGCAAGCGUUGUCCGGAAUGAUUGGGCGUAAAGCGUCUGUAGGUGGCUUGUAAAGUCUAAUGUCAAAUCCCAAGGCUCAACCUUGGACCGGCAUUGGAGAACUCACGAGCUUGAGUACGGUAGAGGUAGAGGGAAUUCCAAGUGGAGCGGUGAAAUGCGUAGAGAUUUGGAGGAACACCAGUGGCGAAGGCGCUCUACUGGGCCGAAACUGACACUGAGAGACGAAAGCUGGGGGAGCGAAUAGGAUUAGAUACCCUAGUAGUCCCAGCCGUAAACUAUGGAGACUAAGUGCUGCCACAAGCAGUGCUGUAGCUAACGCGUUAAGUCUCCCGCCUGGGGAGUAUGCUCGCAAGAGUGAAACUCAAAGGAAUUGACGGGGACCCGCACAAGCGGUGGAUUAUGUGGAUUAAUUCGAUGCAACGCGAAGAACCUUACCAGGGUUUGACAUGUCAAGAACUUUCCAGAAAUGGGAAGGUGCCCUAACGGGAGCUUGAACACAGGUGGUGCAUGGCUGUCGUCAGCUCGUGCCGUGAGGUGUAUAGUUAAGUCUCAUAACGAGCGCAACCCUCGUCUUUAGUUGCCUUUUGGUUCUCUAAAGAGACUGCCAGUGUAAGCUGGAGGAAGGUGAGGAUGACGUCAAGUCAGCAUGCCCCUUACACCCUGGGCUUCACACGUAAUACAAUGGUUGGGACAAUCAGAAGCGAUCUCGUGAGAGCUAGCGGAUCUGUUAAACCCAACCUCAGUUCGGAUUGUAGGCUGCAACUCGCCUACAUGAAGCCGGAAUCGCUAGUAAUCGCCAGUCAGCUAUAUGGCGGUGAAUACGUUCCCGGGUCUUGUACACACCGCCCGUCACACCCAGGAAGCUGGUUCUGCUCCAAGUCGUUACCCUAACCCUUUGGGAGGGGGGCGCCUAAAGCAGGGCUAGUGACCAGGGUGAAGUCGUAACAAGGUAGGGCUACUGGAAGGUGGCCCUGGAUCACCUCCUUC